RNAcentral lists this ribosomal RNA (497 nucleotides) under uncultured bacterium. RNAcentral describes it as "partial 16S ribosomal RNA". It matches the Rfam family "Bacterial small subunit ribosomal RNA", at positions 28 to 507 of the family's 1533-position model. The record is from RNAcentral.
GAUGAACGCUGGCGGCGUGCCUAAUACAUGCAAGUCGAGCGAACAGAUGAUGAGCUUGCUCCUCUGACGUUAGCGGCUGACGGGUGAGUAACACGUGGAUAACCUACCUAUAAUACUGGGAUAACUUCGGGAAACCGGAGCUAAUACCGGAUAAUAUAUUGAACCGCAUAGUUCAAUAGUGAAUGACGGUUUUCCUGUCACUUUUAGACGAAUCCGCGCCGCAUUAGCUAGUUGGUAAGGUAACGGCUUACCAAGGCAACGAUGCGUAGCCGACCUGAGAGGAUGAUCGGCCACACUGGAACUGAGACACGGUCCAGACUCCUACGGGAGGCAGCAGUAGGGAAUCUUCCGCAAUGGGCGAAAGCCUGACGGAGCAACGCCGCGUGAGUGAUGAAGGUCUUCGGAUCGUAAAACUCUGUUAUUAGGGAAGAAAAAAUGUGUAAGUAACUAUGCACGUCUUGACGGUACCUAAUCAGAAAGCCACGGCUAACUACGUG